RNAcentral lists this ribosomal RNA (253 nucleotides) under uncultured bacterium. RNAcentral describes it as "partial 16S ribosomal RNA". It matches the Rfam family "Bacterial small subunit ribosomal RNA", at positions 524 to 776 of the family's 1533-position model. The record is from RNAcentral.
UACAGAGGUGGCAAGCGUUGUUCGGAUUUAUUGGGCGUAAAGGGUCCGUAGGCGGUUCGGAAAGUCAGAUGUGAAAUCCCACAGCUCAACUGUGGAACUGCAUUUGAAACUUCUGGACUAGAGUAUGAGAGGGGUAAAGGGAAUUCCCGGUGUAAGGGUGAAAUCUGCAGAGAUCGGGAGGAACACCAGUCGCGAAGGCGCUUUACUGGCUCAUUACUGACGCUCAGGGACGAAAGCUAGGGUAGCAAACGGG